This 302-nucleotide long non-coding RNA is filed under the name Gallus gallus (chicken). RNAcentral's name for it is "long non-coding RNA NONGGAT003311". Lineage: Eukaryota; Metazoa; Chordata; Aves; Galliformes; Phasianidae. The record is from RNAcentral.
AGAAGACUACGUCACAUACGCAGAGAUUGAGCCAAUUCAACCAGAAGCAUGCGUCAACCUCUCUGUUAUUAGAAGAGAUGAACAAGAGAACAGAGCAUGUGCUACCAUCUAUUCAGAGGUCCUGGUCGGAGAAGGAGCACAAGCUGGACCACUCCAUUCUCCAGAGUAGAAUCACUUAUCAAGAUCAUGAAGAGAACACCCAUCUCAUCAUACCUGCAAUGAAAUGAUCACAUCCAUUACUGCUUUUGAUGUAUGAAAUUUUAGAUAAGGUAUGUAUUGUAACCUGAACGUAUUUAUUUCGG